GCCCGGGUGGUCUAGUGGUAUGUUCUUGUUACGCCGCCUUAAUCAAUCUAAUUUCCCCACUAACAAAUCAACCAGGUAUGAUUCUCGCUUAGGGAUAAACCCAAGCAUAUCUGCGAGAGGUCCCGCGUUCGAUCCGCGGCUCGGGCC
This is a non-coding RNA of Aspergillus viridinutans, 147 nucleotides long. Lineage: Eukaryota; Fungi; Ascomycota; Eurotiomycetes; Eurotiales; Aspergillaceae. The record is from the annotation of a RefSeq genome assembly.